This 500-nucleotide ribosomal RNA is filed under the name uncultured bacterium. RNAcentral describes it as "partial 16S ribosomal RNA". It matches the Rfam family "Bacterial small subunit ribosomal RNA", at positions 30 to 523 of the family's 1533-position model. The record is from RNAcentral.
AUUGAACGCUGGCGGAAUGCUUUACACAUGCAAGUCGAACGGCAGCACGGACUUCGGUCUGGUGGCGAGUGGCGAACGGGUGAGUAAUGUAUCGGAACGUGCCCAGUCGUGGGGGAUAACGUAGUGAAAAUUACGCUAAUACCGCAUACGAUCUAUGGAUGAAAGCGGGGGAUCGCAAGACCUCGCGCGAUUGGAGCGGCCGAUAUCAGACUAGGUAGUUGGUGGGGUAAAGGCCCACAAAGCCAACGAUCUGUAGCUGGUCUGAGAGGACGACCAGCCACACUGGAACUGAGACACGGUCCAGACUCCUACGGGAGGCAGCAGUGGGGAAUUUUGGACAAUGGGCGAAAGCCUGAUCCAGCCAUUCCGCGUGCAGGAUGAAGGCCCUCGGGUUGUAAACUGCUUUUGUACAGAACGAAAAGGUUUCUACUAAUACUAGGAGCUCAUGACGGUACUGUAAGAAUAAGCACCGGCUAACUACGUGCCAGCCGCCGCGGUAA